UCUGCAUAUGGAGGCCAGUACAGGUGAAACUCAAUCUUGUAGACAACAGUGGUGCCGACGAGAUCCACCGGAGAAGAUGUUACAUAGCCUUGUACAAACAAAAAGUCACCGGUGCCUCCCACAACAGGAUGAUCAGCAGGUUUGAUAUUAUGCGUGCCUCCGACAAUGGAGAUUGACCCUUUGUGUUUCUUCAAACUUAGAGUAAUCUUAGCAGUAGAAAUGCUUGUGAGCCCAUCGAGACUAGAAGUUAUAGAGGUUCCUUCUGCAAUGCCAACGAGUUUGGAAGUUCGGUUGGCUGUAACUGUCAUGGGAUCCUCGAAAACGAACAAGGUACCAAAAGGCAACGUGGUUUGACUGAGGUUUGCUCCUGCAACACCGUUCACUAUGAAAUAUCCAGUUUUGUUGAUGGUUUCAUGUUGGUAAAGUGAAAAGUGGAGGGACUUGAGUUGGUGGUGGUGUGCAGCAGAGGUAGCCUUAAGGGAAAGAACUAAAAGCAAAGCAGCAAGAGCAUGGGCGCAGAGAGAUUGAGCCAUGGCUGUCUUUAGCCUGCAGAGCUUGUUAAUGAAGAG
Molecule: unclassified non-coding RNA, 569 nt
Filed under: Hevea brasiliensis (rubber tree)
Lineage: Eukaryota; Viridiplantae; Streptophyta; Magnoliopsida; Malpighiales; Euphorbiaceae
Source: RNAcentral